AUUAAGUAAAUUAAGUCUUGAAGCUUCCAAAAGAAGUCUUUUUUUUUUUUUCUUUUUUUCAAAUAACUCAGAUCCUCUACAGAUUAGUAAGAGUAUUUAAAACAUUUACAGUUCAGAAUAACCCAGGAUAUUUCCAAAUAAGCAAUCUCAAAAGUAAAUUUGAUUAAUUAUAAGAGGUUAACAGAGAAUUUUUGGAAAAUAACUUGUAGUGUUCAGUUAAAAGACAGCUGUGGGAUUAUCUGUACUUUGAUGGUGAUAAUUAUUCACCUGAAUACACAGAAAAUAUAGGUUCAGCACUGUGAGAAGUCUCAACCAUAAAUGCCUUUAUUUCUCACUUUUGUAAAUGGAUAGCACUUAAAAUGCCAUUAUGGUUGCUAGGUUCCUUCUCAAAAGACAUGUAAUCAUUAAAAAGUGUAAUAUAAAUAAGAGAACAGAUAUUCUGCAAUGCAAUAGGAACCCAUAAAUGCUUGUGCUAUUUCUUUUGCUUGAUGUUUAUUUUGAAGACAUGCUGAAAUGCUUUUGUCAUAUUCUUUUUGGUUUUUUUUUUAUUGUGUCUUAUGUUUCCCUACAGUCAAAUUAUUAGUCUUAUUUAAUAAUUUUCUUUAACUUUAGAUAAACCUUCUCUGAAGCCCCAAAUACCCAUGAGGUGCUGGUCCCAGCUUUAAUCCUGGACCAACAGUUCCCUGUCUAUGUAGGGGCUACUCACAGGAUUCCACCAGCAGGUAGCACUUACUAAUUUAAUGGUCACCUUAUUGUAAUCCUAAACCACUCCUUUGAAGGAGGAAACAAUAAGGUUUUCCAUGGUUGAAUGAUGAUGAUCAGUGAAGACUGAAUUGGCGAGAAUGAUCUCUAAAUACAGGUAUUGUAUUUGAUGAAAGAUAUAUGGUGGAAAUAGUUGGUGACAUAAAUAAUCAGUGUUUUCAUGUGUAACUUGAAACUGCAAUUAGAAUAUGAUAAUAUAAAAAGAAAAAAAUAAAAAGAAGAAAGUAGUACUGAGUGACAACAUGUAUAUGCAAUGCUAUUCUAGUAGUUAAACUGGAUCAUGAAUUCUUUUCCUUUGAUUCAAGAUGUCAAUUUUUCCAUUAUGCCCCAAGGGUCUCUAAACUAUGAUGAUUCCAGCUGAUUGCAAAUUCAAUAUCAAAAUCAAUACCAA
Taeniopygia guttata (zebra finch) is the source of this 1153-nucleotide non-coding RNA. NCBI's taxonomy places the organism in Eukaryota, Metazoa, Chordata, Aves, Passeriformes, Estrildidae. The record is from RefSeq and is a predicted model, not a curated record.